AGGAUGAUAGUUAAUAAUAACAGUUGGCUUGCAUUCAAAAAGUACUGAAAAUUUCAGUUCAUCUU
This 65-nucleotide transfer RNA is filed under the name Margattea spinifera. RNAcentral's name for it is "tRNA-Ala". Lineage: Eukaryota; Metazoa; Arthropoda; Insecta; Blattodea; Pseudophyllodromiidae. The record is from RNAcentral.